Molecule: ribosomal RNA, 389 nt
Filed under: uncultured bacterium
Lineage: Bacteria
Description: bacterial SSU rRNA
Rfam family: Bacterial small subunit ribosomal RNA
Source: RNAcentral
AUUGAACGCUGGCGGCAUGCCUUACACAUGCAAGUCGAACGGCAGCACGGGGGCAACCCUGGUGGCGAGUGGCGAACGGGUGAGUAACGCAUCGGAAUGUACCCAGUAGUGGGGGGAUAACUAGUCGAAAGAUUAGCUAAUACCGCAUACGCACUGAGGUGGAAAGCGGGGGAUCGCAAGACCUCGCGCUAUUGGAGCAGCCGAUGUCCGAUUAGGUAGUUGGUGGGGUAAAGGCCUACCAAGCCUGCGAUCGGUAACUGGUCUGAGAGGACGACCAGUCACACUGGGACUGAGACACGGCCCAGACUCCUACGGGAGGCAGCAGUGGGGAAUUUUUGGGACAAUGGGCGCAAGCCUGAUCCAGCAAUGCCGCGUGUGUGAAGAAGGCC